Molecule: small nuclear RNA, 81 nt
Filed under: Erinaceus europaeus (western European hedgehog)
Lineage: Eukaryota; Metazoa; Chordata; Mammalia; Eulipotyphla; Erinaceidae
Description: 7SK RNA
Rfam family: 7SK RNA
About the family: 7SK was discovered as an abundant small nuclear RNA in the mid-70s but a possible function has only recently been suggested. Two independent studies have found that 7SK RNA binds the CDK9/cyclin T complex (known as elongation factor P-TEFb).
Source: Rfam by way of RNAcentral
GAUCUGGCUACGGCAUCUGUCACCCCAUUGAUCGCCAGGGUUGAUUCAGCUGAUCUGGUGGGUGUUCCAUGUGCACCCCUC